RNAcentral lists this ribosomal RNA (383 nucleotides) under uncultured eukaryote. RNAcentral's name for it is "partial 18S ribosomal RNA". It matches the Rfam family "Eukaryotic small subunit ribosomal RNA", at positions 592 to 976 of the family's 1831-position model. The record is from RNAcentral.
CAAUAGCGUAUAUUAAAGUUGUUGCAGUUAAAAAGCUCGUAGUUGGAUCUCUGGUGGGAGCGAUCGGUCUGGCGCUUAGCGCGAGUACUUGCAUCGUCUCCGGCCAUCCUUGGGGAGAGUCUGUCUGGCAUUAGGUUGUCGGGCAGAGGAUCCUCAUCGUUUACUGUGAAAAAAUUAGAGUGUUCAAAGCAGGCUUAUGCCGUUGAAUAUAUUAGCAUGGAAUAAUAAGAUAGGACUUUGGUACUAUUUUGUUGGUCUGCGCACCAAAGUAAUGAUUAAUAGGGACAGUUGGGGGUAUUCGUAUUCCGUUGUCAGAGGUGAAAUUCUUGGAUUUACGGAAGACGAACUACUGCGAAAGCAUUUACCAAGGAUGUUUUCAUUAA